UGGUACUGGGAAGAGAAGAAGAGUGGUACUGGGAAGAGAGGAAGAGUGGUACUGGAAAGAGAGGAAGAGUGGUACUGGGAAGAGUGGUACUGGAAAGAGAGGAAGAGUGGUACUGGAAAGAGUGGAAGAGUGGUACUGGAAAGAGAAGAAGAGUGGUACUGGAAAGAGAGGAAGAGUGGUACUGGGAAGAGUGGAAGAGUGGUACUGGAAAGAGAAGAAGAGUGGUACUGGAAAGAGUGGUACUGGGAAGAGAGGAAGAGUGGUACUGGAAAGAGAGGAAGAGUGGUACUGGAAAGAGAGGAAGAGUGGUACUGGGAAGAGAGGAAGAGUGGUACUGGAAAGAGAAGAAGAGUGGUACUGGGAAGAGAAGAAGAGUGGUACUGGAAAGAGUGGUACUGGGAAGAGAGGAAGAGUGGUACUGGGAAGAGAAGAAGAGUGGUACUGGGAAGAGAAGAAGAGUGGUACUGGGAAGAGAGGAAGAGUGGUACUGGGAAGAGAGGAAGAGUGGUACUGGGAAGAGAGGAAGAGUGGUACUGGGAAGAGUGGUACUGGGAAGAGAGGAAGAGUGGUACUGGGAAGAGAGGAAGAGUGGUACUGGAAAGAGAGGAAGAGUGGUACUGGGAAGAGUGGUACUGGGAAGAGAGGAAGAGUGGUACUGGAAAGAGAAGAAGAGUGGUACUGGGAAGAGAAGAAGAGUGGUACUGGAAAGAGAGGAAGAGUGGUACUGGAAAGAGAAGAAGAGUGGUACUGGAAAGAGAAGAAGAGUGGUACUGGAAAGAGAGGAAGAGUGGUACUGGAAAGAGAGGAAGAGUGGUACUGGAAAGAGAAGAAGAGUGGUACUGGAAAGAGAAGAAGAGUGGUACUGGAAAGAGAAGAAGAGUGGUACUGGAAAGAGAGAGAGUGGUACUGGGAAGAGAGGAAGAGUGGUACUGGGAAGAGAGAGAGUGGUACUGGGAAG
Oncorhynchus tshawytscha (Chinook salmon) is the source of this 958-nucleotide long non-coding RNA. The record is from Ensembl. Lineage: Eukaryota; Metazoa; Chordata; Actinopteri; Salmoniformes; Salmonidae.